AUACAUGCAAGUCGAACGAACUUCCGUUAAUUGAUUAUGACGUACUUGUACUGAUUGAGAUUUUAACACGAAGUGAGUGGCGAACGGGUGAGUAACACGUGGGUAACCUGCCCAGAAGUAGGGGAUAACACCUGGAAACAGAUGCUAAUACCGUAUAACAGAGAAAACCGCAUGGUUUUCUUUUAAAAGAUGGCUCUGCUAUCACUUCUGGAUGGACCCGCGGCGUAUUAGCUAGUUGGUGAGGUAAAGGCUCACCAAGGCAGUGAUACGUAGCCGACCUGAGAGGGUAAUCGGCCACAUUGGGACUGAGACACGGCCCAGACUCCUACGGGAGGCAGCAGUAGGGAAUCUUCCACAAUGGACGCAAGUCUGAUGGAGCAACGCCGCGUGAGUGAAGAAGGGUUUCGGCUCGUAAAGCUCUGUUGUUAAAGAAGAACGUGGGUAAGAGUAACUGUUUACCCAGUGACGGUAUUUAACCAGAAAGCCACGGCUAACUACGUGCCAGCAGCCGCGGUAAUACGUAGGUGGCAAGCGUUAUCCGGAUUUAUUGGGCGUAAAGCGAGCGCAGGCGGUCUUUUAAGUCUAAUGUGAAAGCCUUCGGCUCAACCGAAGAAGUGCAUUGGAAACUGGGAGACUUGAGUGCAGAAGAGGACAGUGGAACUCCAUGUGUAGCGGUGAAAUGCGUAGAUAUAUGGAAGAACACCAGUGGCGAAGGCGGCUGUCUGGUCUGCAACUGACGCU
This 741-nucleotide ribosomal RNA is filed under the name Pediococcus pentosaceus. Its description in RNAcentral is "bacterial SSU rRNA". It matches the Rfam family "Bacterial small subunit ribosomal RNA", at positions 51 to 747 of the family's 1533-position model. Lineage: Bacteria; Bacillati; Bacillota; Bacilli; Lactobacillales; Lactobacillaceae. The record is from RNAcentral.